CUGUUAGCUCAAUUGGAUAGAGCAUCUGACUUCGGAUCAGAAGGCUAGAGGUUCAAGUCCUCUACGG
Molecule: transfer RNA, 67 nt
Filed under: bacterium
Lineage: Bacteria
Also listed under: 1 other name
Description: tRNA-Arg
Rfam family: tRNA
About the family: Transfer RNA (tRNA) molecules are approximately 80 nucleotides in length. Their secondary structure includes four short double-helical elements and three loops (D, anti-codon, and T loops).
Source: RNAcentral